GAUGAAGAACGCAGCGAAAUGCGAUAAGUAAUGUGAAUUGCAGAAUUCAGUGAAUCAUCGAAUCUUUGAACGCACAUUGCGCCCCUUGGUAUUCCGGGGGGCAUGCCUGUUCGAGCGUCAUUAUAACCCCUCAAGCUCAGCUUGGUGUUGGGGCCUGCCGACUGGCAGCCCUUAAAAUCAGUGGCGGCGCCAUCUGGCUCUAAGCGUAGUAAUUUCUCUCGCUAUAGAGUCCCGGUGGAUGCUUGCCAGCAACCCCCAACUUUCUAUGGUUGACCUCGGAUCAGGUAGGGAUACCCGCUGAACUUAAGCAUAUCAAUAACGGAGGA
This 326-nucleotide unclassified non-coding RNA is filed under the name soil metagenome. RNAcentral's name for it is "partial contains 5.8S ribosomal RNA, internal transcribed spacer 2, and large subunit ribosomal RNA". The stretch from base 1 to 120 matches the Rfam family "5.8S ribosomal RNA", at positions 35 to 154 of the family's 154-position model. The record is from RNAcentral.